GCAAGUCGAACGAGCGAGAGAGAGCUUGCUUUCUCAAGCGAGUGGCGAACGGGUGAGUAACGCGUGAGGAACCUGCCUCAAAGAGGGGGACAACAGUUGGAAACGACUGCUAAUACCGCAUAAGCCCACGACCCGGCAUCGGGUAGAGGGAAAAGGAGCAAUCCGCUUUGAGAUGGCCUCGCGUCCGAUUAGCUAGUUGGUGAGGUAAUGGCCCACCAAGGCGACGAUCGGUAGCCGGACUGAGAGGUUGAACGGCCACAUUGGGACUGAGACACGGCCCAGACUCCUACGGGAGGCAGCAGUGGGGAAUAUUGCACAAUGGGGGAAACCCUGAUGCAGCGACGCCGCGUGGAGGAAGAAGGUCUUCGGAUUGUAAACUCCUGUUGUUGAGGAAGAUAAUGACGGUACUCAACAAGGAAGUGACGGCUAACUACGUGCCAGCAGCCGCGGUAAAACGUAGGUCACAAGCGUUGUCCGGAAUUACUGGGUGUAAAGGGAGCGCAGGCGGGAAGACAAGUUGGAAGUGAAAUCCAUGGGCUCAACCCAUGAACUGCUUUCAAAACUGUUUUUCUUGAGUAGUGCAGAGGUAGGCGGAAUUCCCGGUGUAGCGGUGGAAUGCGUAGAUAUCGGGAGGAACACCAGUGGCGAA
RNAcentral lists this ribosomal RNA (649 nucleotides) under uncultured Lachnospiraceae bacterium. RNAcentral's name for it is "bacterial SSU rRNA". It matches the Rfam family "Bacterial small subunit ribosomal RNA", at positions 57 to 719 of the family's 1533-position model. The record is from RNAcentral. Lineage: Bacteria; Bacillati; Bacillota; Clostridia; Lachnospirales; Lachnospiraceae.